CCUCUAGAGAGGUCACAAGGUUUUUAGCUCACCUGUCACAAAGUGACAAGGUGAGCUUUUGUGAUCGCGCGGUGUCCGUCGUCCGUCGUCCGUCCGUGCGUCCGUCCGUCCGUCCGUAAACUUUUGCUUGUGACCACUCUAGAGGUCACAUUUUUCAUGGGAUCUUUAUGAAAGUUGGUCAGAAUGUUCAUCUUGAUGAUAUCUAGGUCAAGUUCGAAACUGGGUCACGUGCCUUCAAAAACUAGGUCAGUAGGUCUAAAAAUAGAAAAACCUUGUGACCUCUCUAGAGGCCAUAUAUUUCACAAGAUCUUCAUGAAAAUUGGUCAGAAUGUUCACCUUGAUGAUAUCUAGGUCAAGUUCGAAACUGGGUCACGUGCUGUCAAAAACUAGGUCAGUAGGUCUAAAAAUAGAAAAACCUUGUGACCUCUCUAAAGGCCAUAUAUUUCACAAGAUCUUCAUGAAAAUUGGUCAGAACAUUCAACUUGAUGAUAUCUAGAUCAAGUUCGAAACUGGGUCACGUGCCAUCAAAAACUAGGUCAGUAGGUCAAAUAAUAGAAAAACCUUGUGACCUCUCUAAAGGCCACAUUUUUCAUGGGAUCUGUAUGAAAGUUGGUCUGAAUGUUCAUCUUGAUGAUAUCUAGGUCAAGUUCGAAACUGGGUCACGUGCGGUCAAAAACUAGGUCAGUAGGUCUAAAAAUAGAAAAACCUUGUGACCUCUCUAGAGGCCAUAUAUUUCAUGAGAUCUUCAUGAAAAUUGGUCAGAACUUUCACCUUGAUGAUGUCUAGGUCAAGUUCGAAAGUGGGUCACGUGCCCUCAAAAACUAGGUCAGUAGGUCAAAUAAUAGAAAAACCUUGUGACCUCUCUAGAGGCCAUAUUUUUCAUGGGAUCUGUAUGAAAGUUGGUCUGAAUGUUCAUCUUGAUGAUAUCUAGGUCAGUUUUGAAAGUGGGUCAAGUGCCAUCAAAAACUAGGUCAGUAGGUCAAAUAAUAGAAAAACCUUGUGACCUCUCUAAAGGCCAUAUUUUUCAUGGGAUCUGUAUGAAAGUUGGUCUGAAUGUUCAUCUUGAUGAUAUCUAGGUCAAGUUUGAAACAGGGUCAUGUGCGGUCAAAAACUAGGUCAGCAGGUCUAAAAAUAGAAAAACCUUGUGACCUCUCUAGAGGCCAUACAUGUGAAUGGAUCUCCAUAAAAAUUGGCCAGAAUGUUCACCUUGAUGAUAUCUAGGUCAAGUUUGAAACUGGGUCACGUGCCUUAAAAAACUAGGUCAGUAGGUCAAAUAAUAAAAAAAACAUUGUGACCUCUCUAGAGGCCAUACUUUUCAUGGGAUCUGUAUGAAAGUUGGUCUGAAUGUUCAUCUUGAUGAUAUCUAGGUCUAAAAUUAGAAAAAUCUUUUGACCUCUCUAGAGGCCAUAUUUUUCAAUGGAUCUUCAUGAAAAUUGAUCUGAAUGUUCAUCUUGAUGAUAUCUAGGUCAGUUUCGAAACUGGGUCACAUGCGG
Long non-coding RNA from Mercenaria mercenaria, 1493 nucleotides. RefSeq lists it as uncharacterized. The record is from RefSeq and is a predicted model, not a curated record. NCBI's taxonomy places the organism in Eukaryota, Metazoa, Mollusca, Bivalvia, Venerida, Veneridae. The transcript is spliced from 2 exons.